UACGUAGGGUGCAAGCGUUGUCCGGAAUUAUUGGGCGUAAAGAGCUCGUAGGCGGUCUGUCGCGUCGGCUGUGAAAACCCGGAGCUCAACUCCGGGCCUGCAGUCGAUACGGGCAAACUGGAGUACUGCAGGGGAGACUGGAAUUCCUGGUGUAGCGGUGGAAUGCGCAGAUAUCAGGAGGAACACCGGUGGCGAAGGCGGGUCUCUGGGCAGUAACUGACGCUGAGGAGCGAAAGCGUGGGGAGCGAACAGG
Molecule: ribosomal RNA, 253 nt
Filed under: uncultured bacterium
Lineage: Bacteria
Description: partial 16S ribosomal RNA
Rfam family: Bacterial small subunit ribosomal RNA
Source: RNAcentral